AGCCCUGCAGUGGAACAUGAUGCCAGAAA
This 29-nucleotide non-coding RNA is filed under the name Homo sapiens (human). The record is from RNAcentral. Lineage: Eukaryota; Metazoa; Chordata; Mammalia; Primates; Hominidae.